This 1552-nucleotide long non-coding RNA is filed under the name Calidris pugnax (ruff). Its description in RNAcentral is "lncRNA (ENSCPUG00000001894.1)". The record is from RNAcentral. Lineage: Eukaryota; Metazoa; Chordata; Aves; Charadriiformes; Scolopacidae.
AUGGCGCGGCUGGUGGCACCGCCGCCUCGGCAGGUGAUGGCUGCUGCCAUUGAGUCUGCAAGCUUUGAGGAGGAACAGCUUCCUAAUAAGAGAGAAAGUAUGAUCUGGAAGCCCAGAAAAGAAUGUUUGCUGAAGAACAUUCCAAAUGUCCUUGAUAGUGAGCCUGAAGAAAGUGAAUUCUCUGAUAUCUCUCAAAAUGAGAAUGAUGUUAGUGGCUCUCCUGUUGACUGUGUCCGUAUACAUUCUGACCUGGAAGACUUAGAUGAUGAUGUCUCCGGUAUGCCUGAGGCUGUAACUUUUCUAGAGCUGCAGACUGCUUCUGUGUACAAAAUAGAGGAGGACUGGGAUAAAGAACUGGAGGAAUCUGAAUGUAAUCCUUAUGAUGCUGGUGAUCUCUACUGUGGAAGCUUUCAGGAAAAUAAUCUUUUGACCUCAUACUCAUGGCGAGAGGAUUUGUUUUACAACCCCAGCUGUCACCAUGCAGCUUGCGUUGCUUUUACACCACCAGUUAGAAUGACUGAGCCUGGCCAGUUUGAUGAUGCUGAUGAAUGAGGUUGACCCUGGUCAGAACUAAGUUUGGCUUCUGAGUUGGAUUAUGUUCUUCACUGGUUGAAUCGUUUCAAGUCCUUUGGCUUGCUUGCAGACUUCUGCAUAAGGCCAGAAACGCUACACCAUCUCCCAAGUUUUGCUUAGACCACUACUGAGCUGCUUAUAAAUUGACCAUGUUUGACCUCUGGAAAUGAGAGUGCAGGUGCUAGCUGUAAGGAGUCAAUACAUUUCUGGACUUUUUGUUUCUAUUAUAUAGAUUUAUAUUGUUGCUAACGAAUUGCUUGAGAGGAAGUAUUUAACUUCUAAACUUCAGCUUGUUUGCCAAGCUUUGCCGGUUUUGACAUGCUGAUCCUUGUGUGUCUAUGUCAUUUUUAGUUUUCUUUCCUUUUCAUUUGAUGCUGUCAAAUUGGUUCACAAAGCUUUAAAAACUCUUCUUCCUUCCAGCUUCUCUGUUGUAUUUCUAUGUUGCAGUUUGUGAUUCCAGAUCUAAUACUGGUGUUUAACAAAAUUAGCCAUGACAAAUACGGAAUGAGUGGUUGUGUUUUCAUUUUAUGUUUCAGUAUAAGGGGAUUACAAAUACGUGAUACACAUUUUGCAAAUACAGACGUGGACAUACGCUAGGGCCUGCUGCAUCCAAUGACAACGCUGAGUGCUUAAAACUCUCUCCUAGCAAAGGUUUCUUCAUAUCUGACUUUCUUGUAUUUGGGCAUAGAAUCAUAGAAUCAUUGAGGUUGGAAGAGACCCUUGGGAUCAUCGAGUCCAACCAUCUCCCCUACUCUACAAAGUCCUCCCCUACACCAUGUCCCUCAGCACUGCAUCUAAAUGGCCCUUAAACACAGCCAGGGAUGGGGACUCCACCCCCUCCCUGGGCAGCCUGUUCCAAUGCCCGACCACUCUUUCAGUGAAAAAUUCCUUCCUAAUGUUCAAUCUAAACCUCCCCUGUUGGAGCUUGAAGCCGGCAUAUUAUCCUUCAGUCUCACAGUUGGCUUUGUAAUGUUCUCAU